ACUUUAAAUGUAAUUAUCCAAAGUAUGGUUCCGGAGACAUUGGGAGAUUGAGCACUCCUUCAGAACGAUUCUACGGGGAAAAAAAACAAAAAACAAAAAACAAAAAAACAGUGGCCAGAGACUUGAGCAGGAUGUGUGAAGGGAUUUAAUAAUGGAACUUGUGGCAACAGUAGACUUCAGAGACCAGACUGGCGGCUUGAAGAAAGCUAUUUUCUCGUACCAAAUACAUUCCAUUUCCUAAAGACAGGGUCUCGGUCUGUUACCCAAGCUGAAGAGCAAUGGGAUGAUCAUGGCUCACUGCAGCCUCAGAUUCCUGGGCUCAAGUGAUCCUCCCAUCUCAGCCUCCCAAGUAGCUGGACCUACAGACAUCCACCAUCAUGCCUGGUUGCAAAGGCAUCAGUGAACCACAUGCUUUUGUGGUUUUGAAGCAUUUGCUAUCACUGGAGAAAAAUAUAAUGAUAAAGGAUAGAAGAAUUUCUUACUCAGCUGUUUUAAACUUAUGGUGGAAAAAUAAAGAGAUGAAGAUAGAGACAGAAUAUUCUCUGCACCCCCAGAAUCAGUUCAUUCAUGGUGCUAACAAACACUUCAAGAAUGUGCCAGAGAACUCGCCUGAUUCACUUUACUGAAACACAAGAUUCACAAGAUGGAAUGUCAGUAUUGCAACUGUGAUGCCUUUAUAUCAUGUGAGAAGAACAAUAGAGUCCUGGGAGGCAAGUGCAGAUGACCCCAAGGUCCUUGUGGACAAGGAAGUAAAAGCUAAGAAGAAAUGGCACGUUUCUUAGGAAACAUUUCAAUAUUGUUAUUUAUACAAGGAUGCAGAGAACAGUACAGCUGGAGAAUUAAAUGGAGAGAUCAGCGCACAGAUGGACUUGCAGAGUGGCAAAUCACUAGAGGGCAAACGUCGCACUGCCUUAGAAAUGGAGUUGGUAUUGGUGAAUUCAACAAGAGGACCAGAAGGAGGAGGAAGAGGGAAGAUUUUAAUGCUGUGCAGUGGUGCUCAGGUCUAGGUCAAGAACAAUGAGUCUCAUAUGAUUGUCUCUUGACUUUGACUAUCACGGCCCCAGGUACUGAAGAUAAGAAUAUAGAGAAGUUUUUCUUCUGACAGACUUGCUGGAAGCCAGGUGGCUAUCGCUGGUAACAAUCCAGGAAGCUAACGGAUAACUUCUGUAACAACUGGACCCACACGGCCAGGACUUGAUUAAUGACUGACAUCUACCCUAAUUUUUGUGCCUACAUCCAAUUUAAGACCAAACAGAGAAAACGAAACACGCACCCCUAACCGAUCAUGCAGAAUGCCCCUACUUCUGUUUAGCCCGCCUACAGCUUCCCCAUGGCAAUAGCCUCCAAUCAGGAUACACCUGAACCCUUCCCUCCCCACCCACUGCCCUGCUAUAAAGCUUUCUCAUUUCUCUGCCUUUGAAUCACUGCCAAAACACAGCGACAGUAGCUAACUCCCUUGUUGUAUAGCAGGCUGUGAAAAAAUAGCACUUGCAUUUCUCAUUUGAUUGGUCGUCAUUUAUUUCUAUAACCAUGUGUUUCAUUCAUGC
RNAcentral lists this long non-coding RNA (1547 nucleotides) under Homo sapiens (human). RNAcentral describes it as "non-protein coding lnc-C3orf85-4:5". The record is from RNAcentral. Lineage: Eukaryota; Metazoa; Chordata; Mammalia; Primates; Hominidae.